CAAGAGCGUAUGUAAAAGUUGUUGCAGUUAAAAAGCUCGUAGUUGAACCUUGGGUUUGGUUGGCCGGUCCGCUUUUUUGCGAGUACUGGAUUCAACCGAGCCUUUCCUUCUGGCUAACCAGUCGUUUCGGCGGCUGGCGAACCAGGAUUUUUACUUUGAGAAAAUUAGAGUGUUCAAAGCAGGCAUUAGCUUGAAUAUAUUAGCAUGGAAUAAUAGAAUAGGACGUUAUGGUUCUAUUUUGUUGGUUUCUAGGACCAUCGUAAUGAUUAAUAGGGACGGUCGGGGGCAUCAGUAUUCAGUUGUCAGAGGUGAAAUUCUUGGAUUUACUGAAGACUAACUACUGCGAAAGCAUUUGCCAAGGACGUAUUCAUUAA
Molecule: ribosomal RNA, 374 nt
Filed under: uncultured eukaryote
Lineage: Eukaryota
Description: partial 18S ribosomal RNA
Rfam family: Eukaryotic small subunit ribosomal RNA
Source: RNAcentral